AAACGAGACUUGUCGGGGAUAGGGCGGGACACUUCCGGCUGUUGCGCUCGCUUCCGUUCGCAGUCGGCGGCGUGGUGGGGAGCUGUUGGUUCGGACUGUGGCAGGAUCCGAUGCCAUCCUCGGUCCCUGCCAAAAGCAUGCAGGAGGAAGGGAAGCCCAGCAGCGCCCUGCUGAGCCCUGGAUGCAAUGUGUCUUCCACCCAAUGAUCCUGUACUAAAGAAAGUGCCUGUCUCAAGCCAGGGGCUGGUAACUUUGACUGCAAGCAGGUAAGGAAUUGCUCGAGAAAUGUUUCUCUGUGCUUGUGAGAAAUCAACAGGCUUUUGGGGCAGCAGGGGUGGGUCAUGGUGUACAGAGUGCUGAUUCCUUGAACCUCUUCCUUGCCAGGGUAGCAUAGGAAUGUAGUGGGUGAUCAUUAGUGUGUUCAGGUAUUGCCCUCCUGAGCAGAUUGAAUGCUGUCUCUCAGCAGGCUGUAACCUGAUGUGCUGGAUGACAAAGGGCAGAGGAAAUGAUGGUCCAAAUGUUGCCGAAAGGAGCAGAACUCUACUUGAUGUCCAGUUUCCUACACAUUCCUCCUC
RNAcentral lists this long non-coding RNA (575 nucleotides) under Gopherus agassizii (Agassiz's desert tortoise). RNAcentral describes it as "lncRNA (ENSGAGG00000002597.1)". The record is from RNAcentral. Lineage: Eukaryota; Metazoa; Chordata; Testudines; Testudinidae.